CCACUGUGUCCUGGUGCUGGUGCUUUGGAAAUAUUGAGAGGAAUAUUCAAGCGAAUUAUUUUAUUUGCACUCACCCAGCAAAUGUAUUUAUUGCGCACUGACUCUCAGCUCAAGACUUUAAUGUACCUUGCUUCCUAAGGGGUCUCCUGGAGCUCUAAGGAAACAGACAGGGUAGGAACUGGCAUGUGACAGAAAGACAGGUGAUAACAGCUGAUUCCAGUGUAAUGAGGUCUGGGUGAGCAAGAUGAUAGCCUUAAGCCGGCAGUCACAGAGGGUGUGGACAGGAGAGGAACUAUCCUUCCAAGGUGACUUGAGGUCAUGGUUGAUUUUCUACAGACACUCCUCGCAGCUCUGUUCCCUGGCCAGGACAGGACACGCUUUCUCACCUGGGCUCUAGUCUGAGUGUAGCAUCAAGUCCACGACCUUGUCUGAGCCAAAUCAAUAUAGUCACAUCCUACCCCAAGUGAGGAUCCCAGGUCCCCCUCAUUCCUGGUAGCCUAACCUAUGAAGCCACCUAACCCAGCUGGCCCAAAUUUAACCCCACAAACUUCCAAGAAAGGGGUGGAAAGAAGUAGUAUCCUAUGGCCUUGCUAUUCCUUUCGGGUCCACCAACGGGCAGCAUCAGCUCCACCUGGGAGCUUGUUAGAAAUGCAGACUCUCAGCUUCACCCCAGGUCUCCUGAAGCACAAUCUGCAUUUUAACAAGAUCCUGCGUGAUUCCUACGUGCGCAGUCAAGUUUUGAGAAGCACUGACUUAGGGGCACCCAUACGGGUGGAGAACAAAGCGCUGGCCUCCCCCCUCUCCCCAGCUUCCUCACACACACACCCCAAGUACCCUUGCUGUGGGCAGAAGGAGACUUGGUGAGAUCGCCCCAAGGAGGAGGCGAGUGAAGAAGGCGGCCCUCAGGGAAAGGCGUUUGCCCCACGUUUAGGAGCUAUGCCCUCAAGGUAUAAGACCCAAAAGAGGCACCCCGGGGCCCCGAAGGACCUAAGAAGACUUCAGAGCAUUGAGAGGUGGAGCAGAAAAGGAAAUCCUUCUGACUUCUGGGAACAGAAGGGGCAGCAGGAGCUGUGAGCCUGAGCCAGGCCCUCCUGCUACUUCCUCAAAAUGGACAGAAGGAACCAGCUUUCUCGGGAAACAGGGCUGCUUAGCAAGAGGCCUCGGACCUGCCAUGGGAUGGAAGUAGCAAGAAAAACAAAGCAUGUCUGAGACCGAGGAUGCGAGUCAAGAAGAAGCUGAACUUGGCAGACCAGAUUCACAAAUCCAGGAUCUAGAAAUUUCCAAGUUUCUGUAAGAGGAAUGAAACCCAGCUCUGCAGUCACACGUGCCUGUGAUUUAUCUCCCCUCAACAACAUAGCCGUCUAGGAUCCCACAGAUGCUGCUUUCAAGGAACUUCAGAGGGUUCCUAGGAAAAGUUUGUUUCAAACUGAUGAAACCCCAAAUAUAUUGGAGAUCAAUAAUUUAAAGUGUCAGUAAGAUAAAAUGUUAAGAUAAGAAAAGAAUAUGGCCAAGUCAGCCAUACCUGGUGUCCAGCGAUGCUGAGGCUGCCACGCCUCUGGCAGCACACAUUGUCCAGAGUCAUGGUUAAUGAUGACAGGACCUGAGUCCUGUGAUCUAAGGUGGUGGACCCUGUAUACUCAUAGGUCUGUUCUGCGGCAGAAUUUUUUUUUUGAGGUUCUGGAAAUUUAACCUCCCUUUGUUUUUCCACCUUCUGAGCUUGGAUCUCCAGCUUCCACGGUAAUUUUAUGAGCUACCAAACGAUCAUUCAGACAAUUGAUUUUCUGGUUGAAUGAGAAUCAGUUUCUGUUAUUUCUAACUUAGACUGGACAGAGUUAUUGCAUAAAAUUCAACAAGUCAAAACAUAUUAGGUGGUUAUAAAACUAGGAUUGAAAAAAUAAUAAUUUCCACUUACGGCCAAAAAUGGAAUUUAUAGCAACAAGAUUUAUUCUCACACUUUAAGGAACUAGAAAACUGGACAAAAUGCAAAGAACAGGGGUUUUCACUCACCAAACAGGCAGUGCGAGGCUGCGAUCCCACGGAGAAGGGAACAAGGUGGGCCCCACAGCUGCACCCACUGACUGCCUGGAUGCAGUUUCCAGGCCUCAGCACAGGGAGGGCUAGCCCAAACCGGAGCCAGUUAUCUUGAUGAGUGGAAAGAGACAGAAAUCAGAGCUCAGAGAGACCCAGGUG
This 2190-nucleotide long non-coding RNA is filed under the name Equus asinus (donkey). Its description in RNAcentral is "lncRNA (ENSEASG00005033237.1)". The record is from RNAcentral. Lineage: Eukaryota; Metazoa; Chordata; Mammalia; Perissodactyla; Equidae.